CGAAGAACCUUUACCUAGGUCUUGACAUCCCGAUGCUUAUUUCUAGAGAUAGAAAGUUACUUCGGUACAUCGGUGACAGGUGGUGCAUGGUUGUCGUCAGCUCGUGUCGUGAGAUGUUGGGUUAAGUCCCGCAACGAGCGCAACCCCUAUUGUUAGUUGCCAUCAUUCAGUUGGGCACUCUAGCGAGACUGCCGGUAAUAAACCGGAGGAAGUGGGAUGACGUCAAAUCAUCAUGCCCCUUAUGACCUGGGCUACACACGUGCUACAAUGGUUGGUACAACGAGUUGCGAGUCGGUGACGGCGAGCUAAUCUCUUAAAGCCAAUCUCAGUUCGGAUUGUAGGCUGCAACUCGCCUACAUGAAGUCGGAAUCGCUAGUAAUCGCGGAUCAGCACGCCGCGGUGAAUACGUUCCCGGGCCUU
RNAcentral lists this ribosomal RNA (420 nucleotides) under uncultured Streptococcus sp. RNAcentral describes it as "bacterial SSU rRNA". It matches the Rfam family "Bacterial small subunit ribosomal RNA", at positions 962 to 1382 of the family's 1533-position model. Lineage: Bacteria; Bacillati; Bacillota; Bacilli; Lactobacillales; Streptococcaceae. The record is from RNAcentral.